CUUCCUCACCCUCGUAAGACUACCCGCUGAACUUAAGCAUAUCAAUAAGCGGAGGA
Molecule: ribosomal RNA, 56 nt
Filed under: Metschnikowia chrysoperlae
Lineage: Eukaryota; Fungi; Ascomycota; Pichiomycetes; Serinales; Metschnikowiaceae
Description: partial 26S ribosomal RNA
Source: RNAcentral